This 253-nucleotide ribosomal RNA is filed under the name uncultured bacterium. Its description in RNAcentral is "partial 16S ribosomal RNA". It matches the Rfam family "Bacterial small subunit ribosomal RNA", at positions 524 to 776 of the family's 1533-position model. The record is from RNAcentral.
UACGGAGGGGGCUAGCGUUGUUCGGAAUUACUGGGCGUAAAGCGCACGUAGGCGGCUUUGUAAGUUAGAGGUGAAAGCCCGGAGCUCAACUCCGGAAUUGCCUUUAAGACUGCAUCGCUCGAAUCAUGGAGAGGUGAGUGGAAUUCCGAGUGUAGAGGUGAAAUUCGUAGAUAUUCGGAAGAACACCAGUGGCGAAGGCGGCUCACUGGCCCGAUACUGACGCUGAGGCACGAAAGCGUGGGGAGCAAACAGG